This is a non-coding RNA of Gossypium arboreum, 105 nucleotides long. Lineage: Eukaryota; Viridiplantae; Streptophyta; Magnoliopsida; Malvales; Malvaceae. The record is from Rfam.
AAUCUGUGAUGCAAACAUUUCUGAACCAACAUUUUAAAAUGUUCCCAAGCCUGAUAGAAACUUUCUUCUUCCAUCUAUCUAAAGACAGUAAUCUCUCUUUAGAUU